This 442-nucleotide ribosomal RNA is filed under the name uncultured bacterium. RNAcentral describes it as "bacterial SSU rRNA". It matches the Rfam family "Bacterial small subunit ribosomal RNA", at positions 29 to 506 of the family's 1533-position model. The record is from RNAcentral.
AUGAACGCUGGCGGCGUGGAUAAGGCAUGCAAGUCAAGGGGCCCCGCGAAAGCGGGGAACCGGCGAACGAGGUAGUAACACGUAGGUACGUACCCUUUAGUCUGGAAUAGCCCCGCGAAAGCGGGGGUAACACCGGAUAGUCCCCGCUUUGCGGGGUAAAAAUUUAUUGCUAAAGGAGCGGCCUGCGGGAUAUCAGCUAGUUGGUAAGGUAAUGGCUUACCAAGGCUAUGACGUCUAGGGGAGCUGAGAGGCUGACCCCCACCGAUGGAACUGAGAAACGGUCCAUACACCUACGGGUGGCUGCAGCCGAGAAUAUUCGACAAUGGGCGAAAGCCUGAUCGAGCGACGCCGCGUGGUUGAUGAAGUCCUUCGGGACGUAAAAACCUUUUAUGAUUAAGAAAGUUUAUUGAUCUGAUCAUGAAUAAGGGGCUCCAAACUCUGU